This 72-nucleotide transfer RNA is filed under the name Camelus bactrianus (Bactrian camel). It matches the Rfam family "tRNA". From Rfam's summary of the family: Transfer RNA (tRNA) molecules are approximately 80 nucleotides in length. Their secondary structure includes four short double-helical elements and three loops (D, anti-codon, and T loops). Further hydrogen bonds mediate the characteristic L-shaped molecular structure. tRNAs have two regions of fundamental functional importance: the anti-codon, which is responsible for specific mRNA codon recognition, and the 3' end, to which the tRNAs corresponding amino acid is attached (by aminoacyl-tRNA synthetases). tRNAs cope with the degeneracy of the genetic code in two manners: having more than one tRNA (with a specific anti-codon) for a particular amino acid; and 'wobble' base-pairing, i.e. permitting non-standard base-pairing at the 3rd anti-codon position. Lineage: Eukaryota; Metazoa; Chordata; Mammalia; Artiodactyla; Camelidae. RNAcentral also lists the same sequence under 2 other names. The record is from Rfam by way of RNAcentral.
GAAAGUGUAGCUCGGUGGUAGAGCUCAUGGCUAGCAUGCACGAGGUCCUGGGUUCAAUCCCCAGUACCGCCA